GAUGAACGCUGGCGGCGUGCCUAAUACAUGCAAGUCGAGCGAACGGACGAUAAGCUUGCUUCUCUGAUGUUAGCGGCGGACGGGUGAGUCACACGUGUAUAACCUACCUAUAAGACUGGGAUAACUUCGGGAAACCGGCGCUAAUACCGGAUAAUAUUUUGAACCGCAUGGUUCAAAAGUGAAAGACGGUCUUGCUGUCACUUAUAGCUGGAUCCGCGCUGCAUUAGCUAGUUGGUAAGUUCACGGCUUACCACGGCAACGAUGCAUAGCCGACCUGAGAGGGUGAUCGGCCACACGGGAACGGAGACACGGUCCAGGCGCCUACGGGAGGCAGCAGUAGGGAAUCUGCCGCAAUGGGCGAAAGCCUGACGGAGCAACGCCGCGUGAGUGAUGAAGGUCUUCGGAUCGGAAAACUCUGUUAUGAGGGAAGAACAUAUGUGUAAGUAACUGUGCACAUCUUGACGGUACCGAAUCAGAAAGCCACGGCUAACUACGUG
This 497-nucleotide ribosomal RNA is filed under the name uncultured bacterium. RNAcentral's name for it is "partial 16S ribosomal RNA". It matches the Rfam family "Bacterial small subunit ribosomal RNA", at positions 28 to 507 of the family's 1533-position model. The record is from RNAcentral.